GGGAGACAGCCAAAAGCCAAGGAUGUGUCUGAAUGCAGCCAAGAAUGCAGAUGGCGUCUAGAAUCUGGGAAGAAAAGGAAUGAAGCCUUCAGAAAGAUGCAGAAAUGAGCAUCCAAAGGAUAAUAACUAACUAGCUUAUGUUUCCCAGCUGCAACUGGCAAAGGAAACGCAGCAAAUCUGGAAGGAGAACCCCUGCUCUUAGCCAUUUUUUGCCACAUUGACUUCAACAACUUCACAGGACACCGCCAUUUGGACCCUCCAGUCCUGGCCUCCAGCAUUUGCCCAGAUCACAGUCACAUUCUUCUAACUGGAAUGCAGCGUGGUACCCUAUCCACAAUUCAUCUCCACCAUCCAUUCUUCACUCUUCAGAGUAAUGUUGUUAAAAACAUGAUCAAACAAGCCUGACUAGGUCUUGCUCCUCCUUAAAACCUUUUUCAUGUCUUUCUAUUGCCCUCAAGAAAAAAAAAAAUCCAAAUUCCCAGGUAGAGCUAAUCAUUCAUAGCUACAUAUUAAUUGGAAGAAAAAAUCUUUAAUACCCACUCUUCUUCACCAGUCCUCCCUUUCUCAAAUCUUAUUAUUUCUCCAUAAUAAGCAGAGUUGCAAUUUAUAGUUCACAAUCAUGGAUAAUACAACUGUCCUCAAAAAUCUCUUAGGAAAGAGCCAUAGUAAAUACUAACAUACUGUGUGAAUCCACGAGACCCAGCUUCAUUUCCGUCUUUGAAAUGGUUAAACAGAGAGAGGGAAUCAGAGUCCUGUUUCCCAUCACGUGCUCUCCUUCAGGGACACAAAUAAUGUCUCUGUCCUGUGUUGAUGGACAAAACUACCCAGCAUUUUCAAAGAUUUGAUCACUCUUGGCCCAGCAUAAAUACUUUAAAUCACAUAAAGGCGUGCAAGAUUCAUCUCCACUCAUCACUGGCAGGUGCACUCUUCUCUGUCUCUAAUGCUGCUGCCUUUGACAUUGGUCAGACCCUCUCCCCAGCCCAUUUCUAUGCUAGUUCCACAGCCUUUCAUUAACUGACUUCUAUCUCUGCCUCCUGCAACCCAGAAAACUCUUUCUAAAACACACAAAUCUGCUCAAGUUCUUGCCUAAAAUUCUGGGACCACUUCUUAUUGCUUAGGACAUGAUAAAGCACAUGCUCCUUAGCAGAGCAAGCAAGUUCUGUCAAUUCAACUACUCACUACACGCACUUCCUAUGUGCACAUUAACACCAAGAAUCUACAGCAUCCAGAGAAGUAACAUAAGAGGAUGAAGCAAGAAUAGCAGACACUGUGGAGAAAUGGGAAACCAGA
Vicugna pacos (alpaca) is the source of this 1290-nucleotide non-coding RNA. Lineage: Eukaryota; Metazoa; Chordata; Mammalia; Artiodactyla; Camelidae. The record is from RefSeq and is a predicted model, not a curated record.